GCAGAGAAUUCCAUACAGGUUUGAACAAAUAACCAAAUGCAUGUAAAGAAUCCACCAAUCAAACAUGACUAAAGAAGGAAAUCAUCAGAUUAUCUAAAGUUAUCGAUACUGAACUAAGAUGAAACAUGAAGUAGAAAAGCAAAGAGAAAAUUAGUGCCUAUACUUUACGCAAUCCCAAAAAAAAUAGUGCAGAUACUUUUCAAUAUUCAAGCACUCCACUAAUUAACUUCUCAGACACUUAUAAGAGAUCACAUGUCUUAUUUUAGGUCUGGUGGACUUACAGUUUAUGUCAUACCUGUAGAUGUAUAAACAGAUUGCUAACUAUUCCAUCUAAGGCGUCAAACUUUUACACUGAAGCUUUCACUAAAGUCGAGAAAAUCUGAUGCAACAAAAAGAAUUAUUAAAAGAUAAAUGAAUGCCAUUGACAACUGAAGAAACAACCAUACAAUUGAACAAUAUUUUCCACCGAUAUGGUACCUUAAGUAGCAAACGAGGAUUACUUUCUAAGAUCACUCUUCUUGGUGACGAACACUCU
RNAcentral lists this long non-coding RNA (535 nucleotides) under Nicotiana benthamiana. RNAcentral's name for it is "long non-coding RNA (NBEN_LNC021214)". The record is from RNAcentral. Lineage: Eukaryota; Viridiplantae; Streptophyta; Magnoliopsida; Solanales; Solanaceae.